UACAGAGGGGGCAAGCGUUGUUCGGAAUUACUGGGCGUAAAGGGCGCGUAGGCGGCCUUCUAAGUCGAACGUGAAAUCCCCGGGCUCAACCCGGGAACUGCGUCCGAGACUGAAAGGCUUGAAUCCGGGAGAGGGAUGUGGAAUUCCUGGUGUAGCGGUGAAAUGCGCAGAUAUCAGGAGGAACACCAAUGGCGAAGGCAGCUCGCUGGGACGUGACUGACGCUGAGACGCGAAAGCGUGGGGAGCAAACAGG
Molecule: ribosomal RNA, 253 nt
Filed under: uncultured bacterium
Lineage: Bacteria
Description: partial 16S ribosomal RNA
Rfam family: Bacterial small subunit ribosomal RNA
Source: RNAcentral